AUGAUCGGGAUAACAGUUGGAAACGGCUGCUAAUACCGGAUACGCUCAAAAUGAACUUUUUGAGGAAAGAUGGCCUCUGCUUGCAUGCUAUCGCGUAAGGAUGAGUCCGCGUCCCAUUAGCUUGUUGGCGGGGUAACGGCCCACCAAGGCAACGAUGGGUAGCCGAUUUGAGAGUGAUGAUCGGCCACACUGGAACUGAAACACGGUCCAGACUCCUACGGGAGGCAGCAGUGGGGAAUAUUGCGCAAUGGGCGAAAGCCUGACGCAGCGACGCCGCGUGAGGGAUGAAGGUUUUCGGAUCGUUAAAACCUCUGUCAGAAGGGAAGAACCUACCAUUUGUGCUAAUCAGCAGUUGUACUUGACGGUUACCCUUCAAAAGGAAAGCACCGGCUA
Molecule: ribosomal RNA, 393 nt
Filed under: uncultured bacterium
Lineage: Bacteria
Description: bacterial SSU rRNA
Rfam family: Bacterial small subunit ribosomal RNA
Source: RNAcentral